UACGAAGGGGGCUAGCGUUGCUCGGAAUCACUGGGCGUAAAGGGUGCGUAGGCGGGUCUUUAAGUCAGGGGUGAAAUCCUGGAGCUCAACUCCAGAACUGCCUUUGAUACUGAGGAUCUUGAGUUCGGGAGAGGUGAGUGGAACUGCGAGUGUAGAGGUGAAAUUCGUAGAUAUUCGCAAGAACACCAGUGGCGAAGGCGGCUCACUGGCCCGGAACUGACGCUGAGGUGCGAAAGCGUGGGGAGCAAACAGG
Molecule: ribosomal RNA, 253 nt
Filed under: uncultured bacterium
Lineage: Bacteria
Description: partial 16S ribosomal RNA
Rfam family: Bacterial small subunit ribosomal RNA
Source: RNAcentral